RNAcentral lists this ribosomal RNA (244 nucleotides) under uncultured Sphingomonadales bacterium. Its description in RNAcentral is "partial 16S ribosomal RNA". It matches the Rfam family "Bacterial small subunit ribosomal RNA", at positions 62 to 334 of the family's 1533-position model. Lineage: Bacteria; Pseudomonadati; Pseudomonadota; Alphaproteobacteria; Sphingomonadales. The record is from RNAcentral.
UCGAACGAACCCUUCGGGGUUAGUGGCGCACGGGUGCGUAACGCGUGGGAACCUGCCUUUAGGUUCGGAAUAACUCAGAGAAAUUUGAGCUAAUACCGGAUAAUGUCUUCGGACCAAAGAUUUAUCGCCUUUAGAUGGGCCCGCGUUAGAUUAGAUAGUUGGUGGGGUAAUGGCCUACCAAGUCGACGAUCUAUAGCUGGUCUGAGAGGAUGAUCAGCCACACUGGGACUGAGACACGGCCCAG